CAACUGAUAGCUACAUACAUUAUGGCCAGCCAAUCACGUGUAGGCUUGUUAUCUCACCACCCGUGAUGUCAGCAAGACUAUAUAAGCGUGGGUUGCCCCAAAAUCGAGGUCUGUCUCAAUCACAAGGUCUGUCACCUUAUUCCGUCUCUCUGAAACUCAUGUGAAUUUUUCUAACAUCUAGACCCGUGGAACGUACACUCUCUCUCAUGCCCAUCUAAAAUUUUGUGCCCUCUCUUGCGACAGCACGGUUUUCUUUUUAAGUGAUUUAUUUUCCGAACUGUUGUGUGAAUUUUGUGCUCAACUUAUCCGACAAUAUAAUCAAAUUCUUGUCCAGAAUAUCCAGUAUCCUCAUUUGACUCUCAUCUCUAUCUGUAGUUUGUUGUUCCUACUAAAAGAGCAACUGGUGCCGAAAUUCAGAACAAUCUAGCUAUAUCUUAUUAGGACGCUAUUUUGUUAAUAUAGUGUCAAAAUGAUCGACAACUAGUAUAGCAACGAAAGCCACGCUCGUUAGCUAACAUGAUGCCGAAACAACUCCUGUAAGACCGAGGACAACACGAAAUGUAUGUUCAAAACUAUCCAGAUUGUGGCAGAGUUUUACGGGCACCACUAUACCAAGGAUGUCACGAACAACCUAGUUAUGAGAUAACUUAACAUAUAUUUACCUACUAUGGACUCACUUUUUGCUGAUUUUCAACCUGCAUAUUAUUCCGUUAAUCUGCUAGCUUUCAUCAGAAUGAUCCUAAAUUCUGGACAUCCUCACUGCUCUUGAAAAACCAUUCUAUGACUAGAAUGGAACCUCUAUCAAUUUCUCCAUUUUUUAUCCAACCUUCGUUUUGGCUUUCUUGUGGGUGGAGGAGAGUUUUUUUUGGAGUUCUCUCUUUCAGAGAAAUUUUACCUCAUCCACGAAACUCUUACGAAAACUGAACCUUGACAGCUUUUGUUGAAAAAUACUCUCAAUACAUGAAGUUGGAUGAUUUCAGCCACAUCAAUUGGAUGCCUCGAAGUGCAGUCAAAACUCGACAAGACAGGGAAAAAAUCAUAUUCACAUGACUAUUUUUUAGUUGAACAUUGACCAUUGUUAGCAGGCAGUGCACUGAAAUUGACAUCUCCUUGAAAUCUGUUGAAUUUAUUUUUCCACAAGACCUCAUCAAGAUUGCUGUAUACCUCUUUAUUUGGAAAAAGUCUUCAUGAAGAUGAAAAAAGCUUUGCAGUGAAAUCUCCUGCGACAAUGGUGAAGGCUGGGGGCAGCCCAAAAUCGUUAGAUGAGAAUCAAAAUUUGCAGCAAUACAAUCUACUUAAAUGUUCAUCGCAUAUGCAGGUGCCAAGGACCAACAAGUCUGAAGGUAUUCUGAGUCAAUAAUCAUUAUCUGCAUUGGAGUUUGCCAAAAUUAUUUUUUUCAAUGUGAAAAUUUCUGCGUAGAGCAAGAAUUUCUCAUAUGUAGUUUAAAUAAUGGAGCUCGGGUGAAAGAUUUAGGUGCUCGUUUGACUGGUACAUUUGGUGACCCGUGGAAAGAAAAUUUUCGGCCUUUGAAUUUACUGCUACCUGAAACAGAAUACCACACAUUAAAUCCCUGAAAAAUUUUCUCGGUCAUUGUGAUGGCCACCCUUAUAAGGGAAAUUCCCAACCAGGGAAAGGUCACCCUUCUUUCAGAGAUGGAUUCGAUUCUCUAUAAGAAGUAAUUUUAUAAAAUUUAUGAUUUACUCUUAUAAAGAAUCAACUCGAUCACUGGAGGAGCGAUUGAUGAGAUGCACUUGACGAAAUACUUCGAGAUUCACCCUUAGAGUGAAAAACAAAGUAUUUAGACAACUACAAAUGCUAAAACAGAGUGGGAGAGCAAAUUAGCAAACUGAUGAAAAAUAAAAUUUAAACAUUCAUGCUUUUUACGAUCGGGAUUUUGAUGCAAGUUAAUAAAGACAAAGAAGUCUGGCGUUUUACAAUCUAUUAAAUGGAAAAUUUUAAGAAUUUUGAAAAAAUGAAAAAUUGAGAUUAAUACCUCAUUUAAAAUUAUUAAAGUCAUCUAAAAAUGAAAUAGAUUUCAGAGAGGAUAAAGAAAAGUCUUUCGACGAUUCACCACAGUUGUCCGGGGUUUCCAAGUUCCGAAAAUCGUAAGUCCAGAAUCCAAAAUAACGCCAAGUUGAAAACGAGAGAGAGCAGUAGGAGCUGGGUCCGAGGCAAGAGAGUGAGAUCCUGCCAGGCCGAGGCUCCCGGCAGGAAUACCAGAUCGAACCUCGAUAAAAAGGCGCGUUCAAGUUUUUGAAGUUUAUCAAAAAAGUCUUUAUUACGAGAGACAGAAAAUGAAUGUAAUGAGCGCAAUUAAGAUAAAGAGUUAAGCUCUUAUCUAAAUAUCUCAUCUCACCCUUACCAAAAAAGACGGCGCCCACGUCGUCGUAAAAAAAAGAAAGAUAUUUGAAAAACAAUGAAAAAGAAGGGUGGUGAGUAUGACUGAAGGCCAUGUAAAAGAAAACAAUUGAAAAUUAAUUGAAGGGGAGGGGCAAAAAAAGUACAUUAAUGAAAAAAAGUUAGAACGCCAAAAAAAGAAAAAAAAAAAAAAAAAAAAAAAAAAAAAAAAAAAUAUACAUUGCUGAAUUAAAAAUUAUAAACUGGAGCUGGAACAAACAAAGAGAAUAACAAAUGGAAAUUUUCAUAUUAGACGCUUGAAAAGUAAAAAACAGAAAUUACAAAAAAAAAAUUUUGAACUGUUACUUUUGACAAAAAGAAAAAUAUCAUUCUUCAUUAAGAAGAUCGCUCUGAAUUUCAUUUCUUCCUUUUGCACUCCGGGAACGGGGGGAACGCCCCGCUGAAGGAUUAACCAACUCAUGGGAGGCUAGGGAAAAGGGGAAGAAAAAUUGGCUGCCACCCCGAGCAAAGAGCAAGAGAAAAAUGAAUUUUUUUCUUGCUCAAAGCUCGAGCCUGGCAUGGCUGGCAUCGUCGAUACCUAGGGACUUCAAUGAGGGGAAUAGCCGUACCAAAGUUUCUAAGGUUUGUCAUAUUUUACUCUUUUUACCGUUCUGAGCCUUCCGGAAAAUGCUCCGGUUAGGCCAGCCGCGGGUACAACGCCCUGGAUUGACCCUAGCGUCCGUGUAGCCUUUGGAAUUACUGCCAGAGUCAUUGAUCCACGACUGACCUAUCAGUCGCAUGGAAAUGCCUUGAUCUGGAAAAAAAAAGCAAAGACAUGGGGUGAUGUUGUGGGGUGUGGAUAAACAUCAUUAAUACAAAGAACAAGAUAAGUAGUCACAGGUCUUACACAUUAUUAUUUUAAAUAAAGCCAAUUACAAGGUGCCAAGUAUAAAAACCAAUUUACAUAAAGAGAACAAAUUAUUGAGAAAUUUGAGAAAUAUGAGAAAUUAUUUAGUUGAAUUAUUUAUUUAGAGAAGGAGAAAAAAAAAGUAAAUUGGUCUCUGGGUUUGCAGGGCAUGUCAACAAUUUAAAAAUAAAUCUGACACCAUGCGUGUAAAAGACGAGGUCAUAGAUAUUUUUAUUUUUAAAUUGCGAAUUACUAAGGCUUUAAAGUUUCACCAUUGACAUUAUUUUUGCGUGGAAGAUCACAAAUGCAGUCGUUCGCGCUAGCCCUUGAAAUCGGGUGCCAUGUUGAGAUGCAUUUGCGUCUGUGCUCCAGGGGAUGCUUUUACUAUCCCUCUCCACAAAAGUAGUGAACAAAUCCACUUAGUUUAAACAAAUAAUUCGAUUACUUUAAAGUUGUUGCAAUUUACUGUAGUAAUGUUUUGCGCUGUUCUCUGAAAAAUAUGCUCAUCUUUAUUACUACAGUAAAAGUUACAAAACUUUACAACGCCUAAAAAGCGAGGGGAACCGAACAAAAGAUGUGACUCAGGUAGAGAAAUCGAAAAGACACCACAGUCCUUAUUCUGAGAAGAUACUUUCCGAAUCAAAGGAAUUGAUCAGAUUUCUCUUCUUCGGUUGAACAAUCAACCCAGAAGCAGGGUCCUCGAUUUACAAAACCCUUGAGAGUCAUCACAAAACGGUGGAACGCAACAAAAGUUGCCGAUUCAAAAAGGGGAGGCGAAUUAUUUGCUAAACGAAAAUGAGAAAGAAAGAUUUUGAUCAGGUUCAAAUUUUACCGUCGUGUUCUCACGACCCUUGUUGAAAGAAAUAAUAAACAAAAACAAGUCCACGUGAAGCUAAAAUUGUUGUAUAAAAAAAAAAUCAAAAGGUUCAUUAAAAAAUUGUAAGUAAAUUUUAAAAAAUGGAGACUUACAGAGUGGACAGAGUGGUUACUUUUAGAGUGGACUGUUAAUAUCAGCCAUGCCUCGAGCACGUCAUAGCGCUUUUAGCUCCGUUUUGGCAGCUUGAUUAUGUGCCUUUAAUUUUGUGCACCAUUUCACUAAGAAAAAUACCAUCGCCGCAAGAACAAUCAAAAAUAAAAUAAGAUUCUGAAUCAAAUCUUGCGUAAACGUAAAAAUGUACAUUUAUUUUUAGAAUCGUUAACUGAAGAGUUUACGUCGUUGCUUGCAAUUCCCAUUUUUGAAAAAGGACAGUUGAAAAAAAUUAAGGCAAAAAUCACUAGAUCUGAAUUCUGAACCCGUUGGUUUGAGAAGUAACAAUAAGUAAAAAUAUGAGAGCAACUGUUAACUAUUGAAAGCGGAAAUCAAAAAUGAGUUCUUCCUCGUAUUGUGUUAUCACAAUCCUUAUUCGAGAAUAAGUCCACGUAGAACGAAGAAUGACUCAAAAAUGUCAGUCUUUUUCAAGGGAAUAAGUUGAAAAAGGUUCGAAGAACUUCUUUAAUUUGGAAAUAUGACACUGACAAUGUAAAUCUGUAAUCAAUGUAAAAAUGAUUCAGAUGAUCUGUAACUCUCAUUAUAGUAAAAUCAGUGAGAUAAAUUCAGCGCAAUUUCAACUUGAAAAUUUUUUCUCUAGAAAUUCCCAGCUGUAGCCUUCUUAGAUUUCUAACGCCUGGAAGUGUCAAGAUGUAUGGGCGGGAGAAGGGGGGAAAAGGACGGCACACACAGAAUAACGCCAGUAAAAUCGGCUUUUCAUACUAACAAACUUUAUUCACAAAACAGAUACUUAUAUACAGGUAAUUGUCCUCGAUCAAUCCUCGCAGGUGAGGUGCAUUCGUCAAUAUUGAAGAGUAAACAUUAAACAUAGAAAGGUCGUUCAACACUUAUCAGUUGUUGCCAUAUUUCAUGACAGGAAGUGUAUGAUAGAUUUAAGCCAUCGAAAUCUCCUUUGUCACUCGUCACUAUUUCAGCUGUUGUGAUUUGUUGUUUAGUCGAUAUACCUACUGCUUCUUGUGAUAAUGAAAAUAAAUUGUUAAAUAAUUGUAAUGAUUGUUCUUAUUGUUGAAUAAAUUAUGAUAAUGAAAAUAAA
Non-coding RNA from Bemisia tabaci, 5326 nucleotides. The record is from RefSeq and is a predicted model, not a curated record. Lineage: Eukaryota; Metazoa; Arthropoda; Insecta; Hemiptera; Aleyrodidae.